AUUGAACGCUGGCGGAAUGCUUUACACAUGCAAGUCGAACGGCAGCACGGACUUCGGUCUGGUGGCGAGUGGCGAACGGGUGAGUAACAUAUCGGAACGUAUCCAAUAAUGGGGGAUAACUAAUCGAAAGGUUGGCUAAUACCGCAUACGCCCUACGAGGGAAAGCAGGGGAUCUUCGGACCUUGCGUUAAUGGAGCGGCUGAUAUCUGAUUAGCUAGUUGGUGAGGUAAAGGCUCACCAAGGCGACGAUCAGUAGCUGGUCUGAGAGGACGACCAGCCACACUGGAACUGAGACACGGUCCAGACUCCUACGGGAGGCAGCAGUGGGGAAUUUUGGACAAUGGGCGCAAGCCUGAUCCAGCCAUUCCGCGUGAGUGAAGAAGGCCUUCGGGUUGUAAAGCUCUUUCGCAAGGGAAGAAAACUUGCUUUCUAAUAAAGAGUGAGGUUGACGGUACCUUGAUAAGAAGCACCGGCUAACUACGUGCCAGCCGCCGCGGUAA
This 500-nucleotide ribosomal RNA is filed under the name uncultured bacterium. Its description in RNAcentral is "partial 16S ribosomal RNA". It matches the Rfam family "Bacterial small subunit ribosomal RNA", at positions 30 to 523 of the family's 1533-position model. The record is from RNAcentral.